AACGAACGCUGGCGGCAGGCCUAACACAUGCAAGUCGAACGGGAUCUUCGGAUCUAGUGGCGGACGGGUGAGUAACGCGUGGGAACGUACCCUUUGGUUCGGAAUAGCCCUGGGAAACUGGGAGUAAUACCGGAUACGGUCGAGAGACGAAAGAUUUAUCGCCGAAGGAUCGGCCCGCGUUGGAUUAGGUAGUUGGUGGGGUAAUGGCCUACCAAGCCGACGAUCCAUAGCUGGUUUGAGAGGAUGAUCAGCCACACUGGGACUGAGACACGGCCCAGACUCCUACGGGAGGCAGCAGUGGGGAAUCUUAGACAAUGGGGGAAACCCUGAUCUAGCCAUGCCGCGUGAGCGAUGAAGGCCUUAGGGUUGUAAAGCUCUUUCAGUGGGGAAGAUAAUGACGGUACCCACAGAAGAAGCCCCGGCUAACUCCGUGCCAGCCGCCGCAGUAACAC
RNAcentral lists this ribosomal RNA (452 nucleotides) under uncultured bacterium. Its description in RNAcentral is "bacterial SSU rRNA". It matches the Rfam family "Bacterial small subunit ribosomal RNA", at positions 29 to 526 of the family's 1533-position model. The record is from RNAcentral.